CUGUAAAUAUAGUUUAAUAAAAACAUUAGAUUGUGAAUCUGACAAUAAAAGCUCGAAUCUUUUUAUUUACC
This 71-nucleotide transfer RNA is filed under the name Procyon lotor (raccoon). Its description in RNAcentral is "tRNA-His". It matches the Rfam family "tRNA". From Rfam's summary of the family: Transfer RNA (tRNA) molecules are approximately 80 nucleotides in length. Their secondary structure includes four short double-helical elements and three loops (D, anti-codon, and T loops). The record is from RNAcentral. Lineage: Eukaryota; Metazoa; Chordata; Mammalia; Carnivora; Procyonidae.